Molecule: ribosomal RNA, 253 nt
Filed under: uncultured bacterium
Lineage: Bacteria
Description: partial 16S ribosomal RNA
Rfam family: Bacterial small subunit ribosomal RNA
Source: RNAcentral
UACGUAGGGCGCAAGCGUUGUCCGGAAUUAUUGGGCGUAAAGAGCUCGUAGGCGGUCUGUUACGUCUGCUGUGAAAACCCGGGGCUUAACCCUUGGCUUGCAGUGGAUACGGGCAGACUAGAGGCAGGUAGGGGAGAAUGGAAUUCCCGGUGUAGCGGUGAAAUGCGCAGAUAUCGGGAGGAACACCGGUGGCGAAGGCGGUUCUCUGGGCCUGUUCUGACGCUGAGGAGCGAAAGCGUGGGGAGCGAACAGG